Long non-coding RNA from Peromyscus maniculatus bairdii (prairie deer mouse), 501 nucleotides. RefSeq lists it as uncharacterized. The record is from RefSeq and is a predicted model, not a curated record. Lineage: Eukaryota; Metazoa; Chordata; Mammalia; Rodentia; Cricetidae.
UGAACAUAGCUGAGCUUGUGUCCUUGUGGUAAGAUUGAGGGGGGAAAAAGAUCAACUUUAAAUGAUCUGCAUUAUUUUUUAAUUAUUUUUCAACUUUUCUCAGUUUGUAGUGUUCCAUGGUACAUCAAGGCAAAAAGAAAUAACUCCUACUAACAGUUAUUAUUUUGGCCCGAAACAUUAGAAAGGAGAGGAAGGGGCCAGCCAUCCACCUGAGCGAUGUGUGAAUGAUGUGGAAUAGUCCACAAUGUAUUCUAAGCACACUUAACUCAUGACUGACUGAGGCCUGAGGAAUCCAAUGGGGUAGCAGCUGGUCUAUCAGCCUGGGCACUUUCUUCAAGGAGAGAGUGCAAUGAAAGCAGAACAGGAAUUGCUACAUCCAUGGUCUACGCGUGGACCACAUGGGAUAGAGACAGUGGGUUCAUUUUUAAAAAGAGACUCCCAGAGAACUUUUUGACAAGGAGACAGUGGAAGGUGAGACCUGGAUGGAGAUAUCAUUGGGAG